Caenorhabditis elegans is the source of this 21-nucleotide non-coding RNA. Lineage: Eukaryota; Metazoa; Nematoda; Chromadorea; Rhabditida; Rhabditidae. The record is from Ensembl.
UAUUUUUCAGAGAGUCAGGAU